RNAcentral lists this ribosomal RNA (412 nucleotides) under uncultured bacterium. RNAcentral's name for it is "bacterial SSU rRNA". It matches the Rfam family "Bacterial small subunit ribosomal RNA", at positions 28 to 480 of the family's 1533-position model. The record is from RNAcentral.
GAUGAACGCUGGCGAGAUGCUUUACACAUGCAAGUCGUACGAGAGUUUUAACUCAAGUGGCGGACGGGUGAGUAACACGUAAGAAUUUGCCUUUAGGAGGGGGACAACAAUUGGAAACGAUUGCUAAUACCCACUAUGCUUUGAGUGAAAUGGAUUUUUCCGUCCUAAAGAGAAGCUUGCGGCUGAUUAGCUUGUUGGUAAGGUAAUGGCUUACCAAGGCGACGAUCAGUAUCNGGUUUGAGAGGACGAUCAGACACACUGGAACUGAGACACGGUCCAGACUCCUACGGGAGGCAGCAGUGGGGGAAUUUUCCGCAAUGGGCGAAAGCCUGACCCAGCGACGCCGCGUGAAGGAUGAAGUAUUUUCGGUAUGUAAACUUCGAAAGAAUGGGAAGAAUCAAUGACGGUACCA